RNAcentral lists this ribosomal RNA (497 nucleotides) under uncultured bacterium. Its description in RNAcentral is "partial 16S ribosomal RNA". It matches the Rfam family "Bacterial small subunit ribosomal RNA", at positions 28 to 507 of the family's 1533-position model. The record is from RNAcentral.
GAUGAGCGCUGGCGGCGUGCCUAAUACAUGCAAGUCGAGCGAACAGACGAGGAGCUUGCUCCUCUGACGUUAGCGGCGGACGGGUGAGUAACACGUGGAUAACCUACCUAUAAGACUGGGAUAACUUCGGGAAACCGGAGCUAAUACCGGAUAAUAUAUUGAACCGCAUGGUUCAAUAGUGAAAGACGGUUUUGCUGUCACUUAUAGAUGGAUCCGCGCCGCAUUAGCUAGUUGGUAAGGUAACGGCUUACCAAGGCGACGAUGCGUAGCCGACCUGAGAGGGUGAGCGGCCAGACUGGAACUGAGCCACGGUCCAGACUCCUACGGGAGGCAGCAGUAGGGAAUCUUCCGCAAUGGGCGAAAGCCUGACGGAGCAACGCCGCGGGAGUGAUGAAGGUCUUAGGAUCGUAAAACUCUUUUAUUAGGGAAGAACAAAUGUGUAAGUAACUAUGCACGUCGUGACGGUACCUAAUCAGAAAGCCACGGCUAACUACGUG